RNAcentral lists this ribosomal RNA (125 nucleotides) under Salmonella enterica subsp. enterica serovar Infantis. RNAcentral describes it as "partial 23S ribosomal RNA". It matches the Rfam family "Bacterial large subunit ribosomal RNA", at positions 2806 to 2925 of the family's 2925-position model. The record is from RNAcentral. Lineage: Bacteria; Pseudomonadati; Pseudomonadota; Gammaproteobacteria; Enterobacterales; Enterobacteriaceae. RNAcentral also lists the same sequence under 2 other names.
GAGUUCUCCCUGAGACUUAGAGUCUCCUGAAGGAACGUUGAAGACGACGACGUUGAUAGGCCGGGUGUGUAAGCGCAGCGAUGCGUUGAGCUAACCGGUACUAAUGAACCGUGAGGCUUAACCUU